Oryza sativa Japonica Group (Japanese rice) is the source of this 205-nucleotide microRNA precursor. It matches the Rfam family "MIR812 microRNA precursor family". NCBI's taxonomy places the organism in Eukaryota, Viridiplantae, Streptophyta, Magnoliopsida, Poales, Poaceae. The record is from Rfam.
AAAAAGGCAAACCCGCGGUUUGCGUGCCAACGUUUGACUGUCCGUCUUAUAUGAAAUUUUUUUAUAAUUAGUAUUUUCAUUGUUGUUAGAUGAUAAAACAUGAUGAAUACUUUAUGCGUGACUUAUCUUUUUAAUUUUUUUCAUAAUUUUUUUAAAUAAGACGGACGGUCAAACAUUGGACAUGGAAACCAGGGUUUGUCUUUUU